UACGUAGGGGGCAAGCGUUGUCCGGAUUCAUUGGGCGUAAAGAGCUCGUAGGCGGCUUGGCAAGUCGGGUGUGAAAACUUCAGGCUCAACCUGGAGCGGCCACUCGAUACUGCCAUGGCUAGAGUCCGGUAGGGGACCACGGAAUUCCUGGUGUAGCGGUGAAAUGCGUAGAUAUCGAGAGGAACACCUGCGGCGAAGGCGGGUUGCUGGGCUGACACUGACGCUGAUGCGCGAAAGCUAGGGGAGCGAACGGG
This 254-nucleotide ribosomal RNA is filed under the name uncultured bacterium. RNAcentral's name for it is "partial 16S ribosomal RNA". It matches the Rfam family "Bacterial small subunit ribosomal RNA", at positions 524 to 776 of the family's 1533-position model. The record is from RNAcentral.